Molecule: transfer RNA, 71 nt
Filed under: Bacteroidota bacterium
Lineage: Bacteria; Pseudomonadati; Bacteroidota
Also listed under: 4 other names
Description: Bacteroidetes bacterium tRNA-Gln
Rfam family: tRNA
About the family: Transfer RNA (tRNA) molecules are approximately 80 nucleotides in length. Their secondary structure includes four short double-helical elements and three loops (D, anti-codon, and T loops).
Source: RNAcentral
UGCCCCGUCGUCUAAUGGCAAGACAGCAGACUCUGGAUCUGCUUAUCGAGGUUCGAAUCCUUGCGGGGCAG